UAACGCAUUAAGUGUACCGCCUGGGGAGUACGGUCGCAAGAUUAAAACUCAAAGGAAUAGACGGGGACCCGCACAAGCGGUGGAGCAUGUGGUUUAAUUCGAAGAUACGCGAAGAACCUUACCUGGGCUUGAUAUCCUAAGAACCUUAUAGAGAUAUGAGGGUGCUAGCUUGCUAGAACUUAGAGACAGGUGCUGCACGGCUGUCGUCAGCUCGUGUCGUGAGAUGUUGGGUUAAGUCCCGCAACGAGCGCAACCCACGUAUUUAGUUGCUAACGGUUCGGCCGAGCACUCUAAAUAGACUGCCUUCGUAAGGAGGAGGAAGGUGUGGACGACGUCAAGUCAUCAUGGCCCUUAUGCCCAGGGCGACACACGUGCUACAAUGGCAUAUACAAUGAGACGCAAUACCGCGAGGUGGAGCAAAUCUAUAAAAUAUGUCCCAGUUCGGAUUGUUCUCUGCAACUCGAGAGCAUGAAGCCGGAAUCGCUAGUAAUCGUAGAUCAGCCAUGCUACGGUGAAUACGUUCCCGGGUCUUGUACUCACCGCCCGUCACACCAUGGGAGUUGAUUUCACUCGAAGCCGGAAUACUAAACUAGUUACCGUCCACAGUGGAAUCAGCGACUGGGGUGAAGUCGUAACAAGGUAACCGUAGGAGAACCUGCGGUUGGAUCACCUCCUUUCUA
Molecule: ribosomal RNA, 680 nt
Filed under: Campylobacter jejuni
Lineage: Bacteria; Pseudomonadati; Campylobacterota; Epsilonproteobacteria; Campylobacterales; Campylobacteraceae
Description: bacterial SSU rRNA
Rfam family: Bacterial small subunit ribosomal RNA
Source: RNAcentral